This 367-nucleotide long non-coding RNA is filed under the name Manihot esculenta (cassava). RNAcentral's name for it is "long non-coding RNA (MESC_LNC003620)". Lineage: Eukaryota; Viridiplantae; Streptophyta; Magnoliopsida; Malpighiales; Euphorbiaceae. The record is from RNAcentral.
UUUAUAAUAGUUUAAAUUUUAUAACAUUAUAGUUAUUUUUAUUUUUUUAAUAAUAUAUGAACUUGUUUAUAAAUUUAUUUAACGAAUUGGUUCACCAAUUUAUUUAAACAAUAUUACUCACGAGCCUAUUUAACGAGUCUGCUCGUGAGCAUUCUCAACGAGCCAGCUCGCGAGCCUAAAAACGAGCCAGCUCGCGAGCCUUAACGAGCCGAAUACUAUGGAGCUCAAGCUCAGCUCGUUUAAGUGACGAGCCUCAAAAUUGAGCUCGAGCUUGGCUCGUUUAAAAAACGAGCCGAACUCGGUCGAGCUUUUAUCGAGUCGAGUCUCGAGUAGCUCACGAAUAGCUUGGCUCAUUUACAGCCCUAAU